GUGGGGAAUAUUGGGCAAUGGGCGAAAGCCUGACCCAGCAACGCCGCGUGAAGGAAGAAGGUUUUCGGAUCGUAAACUUCUAUCCUAGGUGAAGAUAAUGACGGUAGCCUAGAAGGAAGCCCCGGCUAACUACGUGCCAGCAGCCGCGGUAAUACGUAGGGGGCAAGCGUUGUCCGGAAUGAUUGGGCGUAAAGGGCGCGUAGGCGGCCUUCUAAGUCCGAUGUGAAAGUCCUGCUUUUAAGGUGGGAAUUGCAUUGGAAACUGGAGGGCUUGAGUGUAGGAGAGGUAAGUGGAAUUCCCGGUGGAGCGGUGAAAUGCGUAGAGAUCGGGAGGAACACCAGUGGCGAAGGCGACUUACUGGACUGUAACUGACGCUGAGGCGCGAAAGUGUGGGGAGCAAACAGGAUUAGAAACCCUUGUAGUCC
Molecule: ribosomal RNA, 425 nt
Filed under: uncultured bacterium
Lineage: Bacteria
Description: partial 16S ribosomal RNA
Rfam family: Bacterial small subunit ribosomal RNA
Source: RNAcentral